RNAcentral lists this ribosomal RNA (274 nucleotides) under uncultured bacterium. RNAcentral describes it as "partial 16S ribosomal RNA". It matches the Rfam family "Bacterial small subunit ribosomal RNA", at positions 523 to 796 of the family's 1533-position model. The record is from RNAcentral.
AUACGGAGGGUGCAAGCGUUACACGGAAUCACUGGGCGUAAAGCGCGCGCAGGCGGCUAUUUAAGUUGGAUGUGAAAGCCUACGGCUCAACCGUAGAACUGCAUCCAAAACUAUUUAGCUAGAGUGUGGGAGAGGAAGAUGGAAUUAGUUGUGUAGGGGUAAAAUCCGUAGAGAUAACUAGGAAUACCAAAAGCGAAGGCAAUCUUCUGGAACACUACUGACGCUGAGGCGCGAAAGCGUGGGGAGCAAACGGGAUUAGAAACCCCUGUAGUCC